UCUGCACACUAUCAAAGCUUAGGGUGGAGGCCGAUCGUUGCCAAUGAACUUCUGAGUGUAAGAAAUGUAUUACAUUAAUGGCAGGACUUUGACUAACAUCAGUAAAGUUAGCCUCUAUAAUGGAGUUUGAUAGGACUCUCUGCCACGUUA
Myotis lucifugus (little brown bat) is the source of this 150-nucleotide small nucleolar RNA. NCBI's taxonomy places the organism in Eukaryota, Metazoa, Chordata, Mammalia, Chiroptera, Vespertilionidae. The record is from Ensembl.